GCAGCACAGCCGUGCUGCAGGGCCCAGGUGCCUCGGGAGCCCUUCAGAGGGCCCUGGGUGAACAGGGACAGUGGCCUGGCGUUGUCACCUGCGGGAGCGCCCCCUCAGGGCUGCCGCGGAGGCACGGCACGGCACGGCACGGCAUCUGCGCAUCCCAGCUCCUCCAAAACGGGCAGGCCCCAGCUGCCCGCAGCUCUGGGCUCUGGGGAGGCAGUGUUGGCCGUUCCUGCUCUAAGCCUGGCCCAAUUCCUCCUCUGCCUCCCCGCCAGGAAAAAGGCACUGGAAACACAGGAGAGAAGGCUACUGAAGAUAUAGAUGAUAACUGUAGGCUAGCGGGCUUGCUUCAGUUUUCAUUAAGAGUGAAUUAAAGUAUUCCUUUAAUAAGCAUUGGAGUCAACCCAUCAUGAAGAUUGUUUGAAUAUUCCAUCCCUGCCACGUGGGCAAGAGUCAGUGGGUAGUUUGUCCUGAGAUCAAGCCCCACCCUUUCUCUUCAGAAAUCCCCCUUACUGUGUUACUAAACUGCCCGGAUGUCUCCCAAAAGCUACUAUAAACUCUUGCAUCUGCAGAGAAAGCAACAACUUCUUCCACUAUGCAGGAGGAUGCUGACAACUCAAUUUUGGUCACUUGCUGCCAAGCUCAACUUGCAACAGUCAACUUACGUCAGACUGGAAGGGGAUUUUUUAUGUCCAAGCUUGCCACUUGCAAAUCCUCUCAGUUGAUCCUCUAAUUGAUGUGGAUCUGUGAACCUACAAGAUAAGAAAUGCUGCUAAUGAGAGAAGAGGAUAAUUCUGAAAUGCUUAGUCACUUUUAUACUUUUUUUACUGAUCCUGUGGAGAAAUGACAGAAUCCUGUAGUUAACAUGAUUCAAAAGAUAAGGGGGAGGAGAAGGUGGAGAAAGAUUAUAUAAAAUGUAUUUAUAUUGCUUCUACAACUCAAUUGUUUUCAGUAUAGUGUCACGCUCUCAGUGUGGGGGAAUUCUGCAUGUGUCAUGAUUCUACAGAUGUUCUUGCACACUACAUGCAGCUGCACUAUUUGUCACGGGCAAAUUUAAUAACAAGAUGCUUGUUAGGUGUUCCCUUUAAUCUUAGUUCACAAAAACAUAGAGGGGAAAAACCCACUACCUGAUAGCUUGCUUGCUUCCCUUCUUUAUAUAGCCUUUUAAAAGACUUUAAAACAAAUAUUGGAAACACCCAUCUUUUGUACUAAAUUCUGUAACACCUGCAAUUACAGCUCUAUUACCUUUGCUAGAAUGAUCUUGUUCUUUCUAAUGUUUAAAAUGCUAAUUAAGUAAUUUUAAGUACCUGAAGAGGUCAUAUUCCUAACAGUGGGGGUUCCUCAAGAGCUUGAUCCUUCAAAAGGGAGAAUAAUUUCUGCUAAGUCCUGAGUAUCCUCUGUUCUCAGUGACUUGCAGAUGAAACUCAGAAACACGCCAUACAGCAGCACGACAGAGCCAAGUGCUGCCAGAAAUUUUACAGAGUCAAACUCAGAAGAGCUUUCCUACUCUCGUCAUUUUAAAACCCUGGAUCCUCUCCUCUAGGUACUGUCUGUCCUAAACUUUGUUGGUCCAAGGGUAGUGUGUUAACUAGCUCUUCAGAGGGGACUAUACCCUUGGGUUCCAGCUUCUUCCAAAUGUAUCCAGGAAGCAGAAGAAGAUUUUGAAAAUAGAAAAGAGAAGAAAAAUUAAAAGGAGGGGGGGGGGGGGGGUGUCACCUGGAAAGCCUAUAACAUGCUGAAACAUGGGUUGUCUAGUUAGUGGCAAGUAAGGUAACCAAAGAACUGGCAGUGCAAGGAGAAAUUUGGACUUCAGAGGAACACAACGGAAAGCUGCAGUAGAAGUACAUCCAACUAAACCAAACAGGACAAAACCCAAAAAGAAGGUACAGCUGUAGAAGACAUAAAGGGUGUUACACCAUCAGUAAGUGUAUGAACAAAAAACAGAUGUUAUAAAUGAAAAAUUUUAAUUUAAUUACUGCAUCUCCUACAGUACAAGAAAGACAUUAACCUACUGGCACU
Molecule: long non-coding RNA, 2013 nt
Organism: Corvus hawaiiensis (hawaiian crow)
Lineage: Eukaryota; Metazoa; Chordata; Aves; Passeriformes; Corvidae
Exons: 3
Source: RefSeq, a predicted model, not a curated record